GUGGGGAAUCUUAGACAAUGGGCGCAAGCCUGAUCUAGCCAUGCCGCGUGAGCGAUGAAGGCCUUAGGGUUGUAAAGCUCUUUCAGCUGGGAAGAUAAUGACGGUACCAGCAGAAGAAGCCCCGGCUAACUCCGUGCCAGCAGCCGCGGUAAUACGGAGGGGGCUAGCGUUGUUCGGAAUUACUGGGCGUAAAGCGCACGUAGGCGGAUCAGAAAGUCAGAGGUGAAAUCCCAGGGCUCAACCUUGGAACUGCCUUUGAAACUCCUGAUCUUGAGGUCGAGAGAGGUGAGUGGAAUUCCGAGUGUAGAGGUGAAAUUCGUAGAUAUUCGGAGGAACACCAGUGGCGAAGGCGGCUCACUGACUCGAUACUGACGCUGAGGUGCGAAAGCGUGGGGAGCAAACAGGAUUAGAAACCCCAGUAGUCC
RNAcentral lists this ribosomal RNA (425 nucleotides) under uncultured bacterium. RNAcentral describes it as "partial 16S ribosomal RNA". It matches the Rfam family "Bacterial small subunit ribosomal RNA", at positions 354 to 796 of the family's 1533-position model. The record is from RNAcentral.